Molecule: ribosomal RNA, 462 nt
Filed under: Bacteroides sp. canine oral taxon 040
Lineage: Bacteria; Pseudomonadati; Bacteroidota; Bacteroidia; Bacteroidales; Bacteroidaceae
Description: bacterial SSU rRNA
Rfam family: Bacterial small subunit ribosomal RNA
Source: RNAcentral
GAGUUUGAUUCUGGCUCAGGAUGAACGCUAGCUACAGGCUUAACACAUGCAAGUCGAGGGGCAUCAUGGUAUUAGCUUGCUAAUACUGAUGGCGACCGGCGCACGGGUGAGUAACACGUAUCCAACCUGGCUUUCACUCAGGGAUAGCCCAUCGAAAGAUGGAUUAAUACUUGAUGGUAUAUACAUUUCGCAUGUUUUGUAUAUUAAAGAUUUAUCGGUGAUAGAUGGGGAUGCGUACCAUUAGUUUGUUGGCGGGGUAACGGCCCACCAAGACUUCGAUGGUUAGGGGUUCUGAGAGGAAGGUCCCCCACAUUGGAACUGAGACACGGUCCAAACUCCUACGGGAGGCAGCAGUGAGGAAUAUUGGUCAAUGGACGUAAGUCUGAACCAGCCAAGUAGCGUGAAGGAUGACUGCCCUCUGGGUUGUAAACUUCUUUUAUAUGUGAAUAAAUUUUCCUACGU